CUUAUAAUAGCAUAUUUACUGCAUUUGAUUGUUACUCAAAAGAAACACAGGCGUGUUUAUAAGG
RNAcentral lists this transfer RNA (64 nucleotides) under Myrianida brachycephala. Its description in RNAcentral is "tRNA-Asn". The record is from RNAcentral. Lineage: Eukaryota; Metazoa; Annelida; Polychaeta; Phyllodocida; Syllidae.